RNAcentral lists this ribosomal RNA (483 nucleotides) under uncultured bacterium. Its description in RNAcentral is "partial 16S ribosomal RNA". It matches the Rfam family "Bacterial small subunit ribosomal RNA", at positions 28 to 523 of the family's 1533-position model. The record is from RNAcentral.
GACGAACGCUGGCGGCGUGCUUAACACAUGCAAGUCGAACGAUGAAGCCGGAGCUUGCUCCGGUGGAUUAGUGGCGAACGGGUGAGUAACACGUGAGCAAUCUGCCCUUGACUCUGGGAUAACUGCGGGAAACUGUAGCUAAUACCGGAUACGACACCUUGGGGCAUCCCAGGGUGUGGAAAGAAUUUCGGUCAAGGAUGAGCUCGCGGCCUAUCAGCUAGUUGGUGAGGUAAUGGCUCACCAAGGCGACGACGGGUAGCCGGCCUGAGAGGGGGACCGGCCACACUGGAACUGGAACACGGUCCAGACUCCUACGGGAGGCAGCAGUGGGGAAUAUUGCACAACGGGCGAAAGUCUGAUGCAGCAACGCCGCGUGAGGGAUGAGGGCCUUCGGGUUGUAAACCUCUUUUAGCAGGGAAGAAGCGAAAGUGACGGUACCUGCAGAAAAAGCACCGGCUAACUACGUGCCAGCCGCCGCCGUAA